AUGUUAGUGAAUUUUGGAUGAAAAUUUCAUUCCGGAUGAAAAAUUAGUCGCAGAAAAUGAUUUUCUGACAAUGAGUAAUUUUCUGCGACUAAUUUUUCAUUCGGAAUGACAUCAUCAUUACACGAACUCACUUCCUCAC
MicroRNA precursor from Equus caballus (horse), 139 nucleotides. Lineage: Eukaryota; Metazoa; Chordata; Mammalia; Perissodactyla; Equidae. The record is from Ensembl.